Molecule: long non-coding RNA, 2172 nt
Organism: Oncorhynchus tshawytscha (Chinook salmon)
Lineage: Eukaryota; Metazoa; Chordata; Actinopteri; Salmoniformes; Salmonidae
Source: Ensembl
CACCUCUCUAGCCAAAGUAAAGAAGUGUGUUUAUGGGUUCAUUCCAGGCGUGUGUAAAGGAUGGUGUCUCUGUAGUGUAAAAUAUGUGCUGUCUUACUUUGCUGAACUGAACGGCACUAUACCAUUUUAUAUUCUAUAUAUCAUAGCUUUCCACAUAACCUGGGGUCUAACUAUGGAAACAUAUAUGAAAUCUUUCAAAUACAAUCCCAAAUAGUAUUAAUUUGUAAAUGUUCAGUCUAUCCAAUGAGGAGUUGCAAAGUGAUCCAACUUCCUGAUAGCAGUAUAUCACAGUACAUGGGUGGUGUGCCACGGACCUUUGUCAGAUUUGGAAAAUAAAAACCUUGGAGUUUGAUUUAGACAUUCUAAGAGCAGUUAGUUUUAAUUUACAUUUGGAGUUUUUUUUAGGCUGUCGCUUUUGAAUUCCUGACAGUCUAAUUUGUUUGCAUUUGAAAAACGUGGUGGAAAGGUUUAUACUUUAUACUUUCUCUGGGUGGUGACGCAGUCUCAGACUGUUCCAUGUUAAGAAACACUGAAAUAACAAGGUUUCAGUCAAAAGCCCAGAAUAUUACGCCAAUAACAUAUCUUCCUGCGUUAAUUGAAUUCAGCUACCAAAGAGGGUAUUUCAGCUUCAGCAAACAUGAAACCCGAUGGGUUUUUUCUCUGUUUGAUUUGAAUGUGAUUGAACUGAAUUAAAACCCGAAUCAGACAUUUGAUCAACCAAAGAAUGGUGUAAGCCAUGGACGCAAAACGAUUAGUUAACACAUUCCCUGAAGAAAUGCAAGUACAGGGCUCAGGACAGACUGAAGUUCUGCACAUGAAAGAAACUCAAACCUAGGAUUUGAGGCGCUUCACAUCUCUCCAAACGGUAAUAAAAUAAGCCUGUACGCCUGGGCAAGUAUAUCUAUCUUCCGUCUGGAAAUGCUUUGGAUAUCUUGGCACUGGGGCGAGAUUGUAUUUUGUGCUGUAGUGCUUUUGUUGAAAAAUGAGAACCCCAUUGUAAAAUGGAGCUUUAAAGGCAGAGCAGGGUGCUUCUGUUAUUUAUUAGGCUCCUCCACCAAUCACCCUCCAUCAUCCACACGGUCACCUCUGUCCUCCAUCACUGAGGUGUGUGUAUGUGUGCUCAUUACGUGAAGUUACGUAGACACCCUCAUUCAAAACACCUGGUCCAUCCACACCAGCUGAUAAACAUUGCAGCACAGUAGGCCUGCACACAAUGGACGACGUGGAAGGCUCUGCAGGAGAGAGAGGGGAGGAGAACGAGGCACUGUGGUUUACUGCAAGACCUUUAAUCAGGCACAUACAAGAGGGUGGAGCAUACCUGUGAAUGGACUGAGUGUGUGUGCCGGUCUUCAUAUGUGUUUCUUCGUCUGUGUGUGUGUUUCUUCGUAGGUCUGUGUGUGUGUUUCUUCGUAGGUCUGUGUGUGUGCCGGUCUUCAUAUGUGUUUCUUCGUCUGUGUGUGUGUUUCUUCGUAGGUCUGUGUGUGUGUGUGUGUGUGUGUGUGUGUGUCUUCAUACGCCUGUGUGUGUGUGUGCGUUGGUGCACAUCCAUCCCUGAUGAUUUUCAGGUUGUUUACAGUGGACCCUGCCAGAGCAGGUGUCAGCUGUGUUUAUGCUCUGGCAUAAAACUCAGGCAAACCCACCUGGGGAGGAAAGACUUGAAGCUUUACUUAUUGCCCCAACAAACAGCUUUUAGUUUCCAGGGAAUUAUUUGUGAGGCCAUUUUCUUUUUGUCUGUGUCCUGGAGUGAACUCACCAUGUCCUCAUUUCCAGGCUAUGCAUCUGACCUUACAUACUUUUAUUUUUGGUUAGAGAUAGAACAACAAUGAUUUCAAUGUGACAAACCCUUUGAGACACAGUGAUACUGUUUUGAAUGGUUUGAAAACUGAGAGUUUUGUCUGACAACUUCUAAAUAUGGAUGCUGUAGAACUCAUUUCCACAGAACAUAUUGGUGGUUUGUCUGAAUUUCAUUUGUUUAAAUUCUAGGCCAGAUAAUUUUAGGAUGAGCAAAGCUUAGUUUAAAUUAAGGAGACACGGGACCGACAGUCCCAGACUAUCGGGAAUGACAGUGCCAGAUCUGACCUGGCAACUGGAGGGCUGCUAGGCUUAGAUCGUGACAUUGUUUCCCUGAAAAAAUAUAUAAAUAAUAAUGUAAUAAAACUAUUUUUGGGGGUG